RNAcentral lists this ribosomal RNA (432 nucleotides) under uncultured bacterium. RNAcentral's name for it is "bacterial SSU rRNA". It matches the Rfam family "Bacterial small subunit ribosomal RNA", at positions 29 to 507 of the family's 1533-position model. The record is from RNAcentral.
AACGAACGCUGGCGGCAGGCCUAACACAUGCAAGUCGAGCGCGCCUUUCGGGGUGAGCGGCGGACGGGUUAGUAACGCGUGGGAAUAUACCCUUUGGUACGGAAUAGCCUCUGGAAACGGAGAGUAAUACCGUAUGAGCCCUUCGGGGGAAAGAUUUAUCGCCAAAGGAUUAGCCCGCGUUAGAUUAGGUAGUUGGUGGGGUAAUGGCCUACCAAGCCUACGAUCUAUAGCUGGUUUUAGAGGAUGAUCAGCAACACUGGGACUGAGACACGGCCCAGACUCCUACGGGAGGCAGCAGUGGGGAAUCUUGGACAAUGGGGCAACCCUGAUCCAGCCAUGCCGCGUGAGUGAAGAAGGCCCUAGGGUCGUAAAGCUCUUUCGCCUGUGAAGAUAAUGACGGUAGCAGGUAAAGAAACCCCGGCUAACUCCGUG